This 253-nucleotide ribosomal RNA is filed under the name uncultured bacterium. RNAcentral describes it as "partial 16S ribosomal RNA". It matches the Rfam family "Bacterial small subunit ribosomal RNA", at positions 524 to 776 of the family's 1533-position model. The record is from RNAcentral.
UACGUAGGCAGCGAGCGUUGUUCGGAGUUACUGGGCGUAAAGGGUGUGUAGGCGGUUGUUUAAGUUUGGUGUGAAAUCUCCCGGCUCAACUGGGAGGGUGCGCCGAAUACUGAAUGACUCGAGUGCGGGAGAGGAGAGUGGAAUUCCUGGUGUAGCGGUGAAAUGCGUAGAUAUCAGGAGGAACACCGGUGGUGUAGACGGCUCUCUGGACCGUAACUGACGCUGAGACACGAAAGCGUGGGUAGCAAACAGG